CCGUGCUGCCCAGUGCCCUCCCCUGCCCUCGGGUCUGAGCACCUGGCACCGGUGGACCCACACACUCCCCGCGGGAGAACAGAGAGGCCGCCUCACCUGCCACCCCCUCUGCGGCUCCAAGCCGGGGCUUAGAGCAAAGCCCUCACAGCCCUGUCACCUACACUUCUCGGGCGUGUUUUUCUCAGUGACGUGUGGGCGGUGUGCAUGGAGUGGCCUGGAGAGAGUAGCAACACACUCAGACGCUUCCUGAACAGGGCUUGAGCACCCCUGAGAGGACAAGAAUGUGUGGAAGACCAGAGGGGAGACAUGGAACCACCCAGAGAUGGCACCUCCUCCAGGAAGCCCUCCUGAUCCUGGCAAUGCCAGAACCAUUUCGUGGGACCCACAGAUCCUGUGCUAUACCCACCGCAGCACAGUUGACUCUGGAUAUCUGACUCCCCCUUUUCCUGAUUCCUAGUGCUGGACUCCCCCCCCCCCCCUUGAGGCCGGAGUUCAAUGAGCACCUGGUGGAGAGAAGGAACAGCAGGAGUGGGCAGCCACACCCAGUGUUGGGAGGAUUCCAAGCCUCGGGCAAUGUAAAAGGCACUCCCUUCUCUAACCAGAAUUGGCCCGGAAAUGAAUAAAUCCCCAUAAAAAAAUCAUGGCACAGUUCCUGUGUUUCACAGUCAACAUGCCUAAAGAUAGUCAUGCACAGCAAAACUGAAAUGAAACAUUCUCUGCUGGCGCUGAGACAUAGUUUCUUGGACCCCCAUCCUGCCUCAGAACAUUCGGAGAAAAUGUGGGUUGGGAGAAGAUUUCAGGGCCCUCCUUGAUCACCCUAGCCACCUGUUUUAAGGUUUGGGGUACAGCAGUCAACAGUUAAUCCUUUGCUGCCACCGUGUGGCCAAGAUGUUGGCUGCCCCCAGGCCUGCAUUCCUUCCUGGGCAACCCUCGUCCUUGACAGCAAGCAUCCACAGUAGCACCCCUUCCUCCUUCCUCAACUGCUCGCUGUGCAGGAGGGGGCAGGAAAACCAUGCAGGGGAAGUCUGUGCUAGGUAUGAGUGCUCCCCCAAGCUGAACUCAUAAGGCCUGGCCCAUAUUUGGCUUAGACCUGUCCAACUGCCCUGGCAUCUGUGACCUCGAAGGAGUGCCCUCUUUUCCCAUUUUGGGCUCUCACACCCCUCUGAACACGACUCCCAAGAACUAGUGCUGGCCUUUUCCUCCAACCCGAAGAGAUCAUCUGAGUGUCAGCAGGGGAAUCUUUCUCACCACAGUAUGAUCAUAUCAUUCUGCAGCUUUAAAACACUCCUGGCUCCCCAUUGCCAGACUUUUGCCUGGAGUUUGAGAA
Molecule: long non-coding RNA, 1327 nt
Organism: Mustela lutreola (European mink)
Lineage: Eukaryota; Metazoa; Chordata; Mammalia; Carnivora; Mustelidae
Exons: 4
Source: RefSeq, a predicted model, not a curated record